Molecule: ribosomal RNA, 254 nt
Filed under: uncultured Caryophanales bacterium
Lineage: Bacteria; Bacillati; Bacillota; Bacilli; Caryophanales
Description: uncultured Bacillales bacterium partial 16S ribosomal RNA
Rfam family: Bacterial small subunit ribosomal RNA
Source: RNAcentral
UACGUAGGGUGGCAAGCGUUGUCCGGAAUUAUUGGGCGUAAAGCGCGCGCAGGUGGUUCUUUAAGUCUGAUGUGAAAGCCCCCGGCUCAACCGGGGAGGGUCAUUGGAAACUGGGGAACUUGAGUGCAGAAGAGGAUAGUGGAAUUCCAAGUGUAGCGGUGAAAUGCGUAGAGAUUUGGAGGAACACCAGUGGCGAAGGCGGCUUACUGGACUGUAACUGACACUGAGGCUCGAAAGCGUGGGGAGCAAACAGG